ACAGGCUCAGGCUGUGUUGUAAUUUAAUGGUUACUCUGUCUUUAGGGGAUUCUCAGUAGUGAGCAGUGAUAAAAUGGUUUCUAAUCUAUUCUUCUCUCUCUUCCUGGCAUUUGAUUUGGAGGGAAAAAUCCUUUUACUUCUAAUUAAUAGCCACACAACCAUCAACAAGCUUAAAGAAUAUGUCUUGUGGGGGAGGCUUCAAGAGAAGUCUCAGUGAUUAAAAGCACGUGUUUCUCGGGCUGGAGAGAUGGCUCAGAAGUUAAGAGUACUCACUGACUGUUCUUCCAGAGGUCCUGAGUUCAAUUCCCAGCACCCACAUGGUGGCUCAUAACCAUCUACAAGGAGAUCUGGUGCUCUCUUCCGGCCUGCAGACCAAACACUCAUUGGAAGAGCGCUGGGUAGGGAAA
Non-coding RNA from Peromyscus maniculatus bairdii (prairie deer mouse), 407 nucleotides. The record is from RefSeq and is a predicted model, not a curated record. Lineage: Eukaryota; Metazoa; Chordata; Mammalia; Rodentia; Cricetidae.